CCCCCCCUAAAAAUCACGAACAGCACUGUGGCUGCAGUAGAGUCAUUCAGGUUCCUGGGCUGCACCAUCUCUCAGGAUCUGAAGUGGGACAUUCACAUAGACUCUAUUGUGAAGAAAGCCCAGCAGAGACUGUACUUCUAUCGAAAUAGUCCGGACUGCUGAAUGAAUCACUGGUACUACCCUUCCUACACUUCAAGAACUGUACUCUUCCAGAGUUUAUGACAAGUAUCCUGACUUCAAUCUGAGCAGCAGAAAGAAAUUCAUUCGUGAGACUGUUAAAAAUAUGAUAUCCUGAAGUGAUGAGAAGAAAAUGCCUUAUUUA
Non-coding RNA from Danio rerio (zebrafish), 322 nucleotides. NCBI's taxonomy places the organism in Eukaryota, Metazoa, Chordata, Actinopteri, Cypriniformes, Danionidae. The record is from RefSeq and is a predicted model, not a curated record.